This 284-nucleotide long non-coding RNA is filed under the name Elaeis guineensis (African oil palm). Its description in RNAcentral is "long non-coding RNA (EGUI_LNC003222)". Lineage: Eukaryota; Viridiplantae; Streptophyta; Magnoliopsida; Arecales; Arecaceae. The record is from RNAcentral.
UUCCGCUUCAACAAUUCCCCUCAUGCGUACCAAGGACUUGAUCUAUAUGGAAAUUUUGACUUUUUUAAUUCGGAUCUUUUGGACAGCAUUUAAUCAUCUUUUUGGUUGUUUUCAAUUAGAAUUGUGGUUAGACCCAUUGAUUAAAUAAAGCUACUUGUAUUGUUGCAUGAGGAAUAGAUUGUUCUCUUUCGCAUAAAAACUUAUUAGCUCUCUGGAAGUGGCGAUUAUCUGUUAUGAGUUGAGUUUGAUUAAAUCACCCAUAUUUUUCAGAAAAGAGAGCGCAC